This 427-nucleotide ribosomal RNA is filed under the name uncultured prokaryote. Its description in RNAcentral is "bacterial SSU rRNA". It matches the Rfam family "Bacterial small subunit ribosomal RNA", at positions 355 to 774 of the family's 1533-position model. The record is from RNAcentral.
UCGAGAAUAAUUCGCAAUGGACGAAAGUCUGACGAUGCGACGCCGCGUGAACGAUGAAGGCCUUCGGGUUGUAACGUUCUGUUGUCCUGGAACAAGAGUCGCUGACGAAUAGUGAGCGACGAUGAGGGUACAGGAAGAGGAAGCACCGGCUAAUUCCGUGCCAGCAGCUGCGGUAAUACGGAAGGUGCAAGCGUUAGUCGGAAUAAUUGGGCGUAAAGGGUGCGUAGGCGGCAUGCAAAGUUGGAUGUGAAAUUCCGGGGCUCAACCUCGGAACAGCACCCAAAACUUGUAUGCUCGAGGGAUGGCGGAGAAGAUGGAAUUCCAUGUGUAGCGGUGAAAUGCGUAGAUAUCGGGAGGAAUACCAGUGGUGAAGACGGCUUUCUGGUCUGUUUCUGACGCUGAGGUGCGAAAGUGUGGGGAUCAAACA